AAAAGGAAAGAGGAACGUGAAGAAGGCCUACCCUCUGAAGAGGUCCAAGCAACGGAAGUACUACUACGAAGCUGCCUUUCUGGCCAUCCUUGAGAAAAACAGACAGAUGGCCAAGGAGAGGGGCCUAAUAAGCCCCAGUGAUUUUGCCCAGCUGCAAAAAUACAUGGAAUACUCCACCAAAAAGGUCAGUGAUGUCCUAAAGCUCUUCGAGGAUGGCGAGAUGGCUAAAUAUGUCCAAGGAGAUGCCAUUGGGUACGAGGGAUUCCAGCAAUUCCUGAAAAUCUAUCUGGAAGUGGAUAAUGUUCCCAGACACCUAAGCCUGGCACUGUUUCAAUCCUUUGAGACUGGUCACUGCUUAAAUGAGACAAAUGUGACAAAAGAUGUGGUGUGUCUCAAUGAUGUUUCCUGCUACUUUUCCCUUCUGGAGGGUGGUCGGCCAGAAGACAAGUUAGAAUUCACCUUCAAGCUGUACGACACGGACAGAAAUGGGAUCCUGGACAGCUCAGUGAGUUGGGGACCCUGUAUGCUGGGCAAGGGAAUAUGUGUUAAUUUGUCUGCACCCUCCUGCCCCAACUCUUCCAGGGUCUUAAGAAACAGAAGAGGAUGGGGGGAGAGGUUGAGUCCUCUAGGACUAAAUUUGAAAGUAAGUCCCAAGCUCUUGACCCCUCAAAGAGAAUGCUGGAGACAUGAAUUGGGUCUGCCUUACAAACAUACAAACACAUUUAUUUACUUGGCAGACGUACCUGAGAAUGAGAGGUGUGAAUCUGGGGUGGAACCCAGGAACACUGAUUUCUGGAAAAGAGUUUGGAUGGUGGUAGUAAAGGG
RNAcentral lists this small RNA (825 nucleotides) under Pan troglodytes (chimpanzee). RNAcentral's name for it is "retained intron". The record is from RNAcentral. Lineage: Eukaryota; Metazoa; Chordata; Mammalia; Primates; Hominidae.